Long non-coding RNA from Alexandromys fortis (reed vole), 379 nucleotides. RefSeq lists it as uncharacterized. The record is from RefSeq and is a predicted model, not a curated record. Lineage: Eukaryota; Metazoa; Chordata; Mammalia; Rodentia; Cricetidae. The transcript has 2 exons.
GGGAGUGAUUUCUUAUUAAUAAAGAAACUGCCUUGGCCCAUUUUAUUGGAUAGAAAAUUAGGUAGGCGGAGUAGACAGAGGAGAAUGCUGGGAAAAAGAAGCUGUGUGAAGAGUCGCCAUGGUUCUCCCGCUCCAGACAGACGCAGGUUAAGAUCCUCCCUGAAAAUUAGGUAGGCGGAGUAGACAGAGGAGAAUGCUGGGAAAAAGAAGCUGUGUGAGGAGUCGCCAUGGUUCUCCCGCUCCAGACAGACGCAGGUUAAGAUCCUCCCUGGUAAGCCAGCUCGUGGGCUACACAGAAUAUUAGAAAUGGGUUAGAACAAUAUGUAAGAGCUAGCCAUAAGGAACUGGAACUAUCCGGGCCAGGCAGUGUUUGAAAGAA